GGAACGAGUUAUCUGAACCUUCGGGGAACGAUAACGGCGUCGAGCGGCGGACGGGUGAGUAAUGCCUAGGAAAUUGCCCUGGUGUGGGGGAUAACCAUUGGAAACGAUGGCUAAUACCGCAUAAUACCUUCGGGUCAAAGAGGGGGACCUUCGGGCCUCUCGCGUCAGGAUAUGCCUAGGUGGGAUUAGCUAGUUGGUGAGGUAAUGGCUCACCAAGGCGACGAUCCCUAGCUGGUCUGAGAGGAUGAUCAGCCACACUGGAACUGAGACACGGUCCAGACUCCUACGGGAGGCAGCAGUGGGGAAUAUUGCACAAUGGGCGCAAGCCUGAUGCAGCCAUGCCGCGUGUGUGAAGAAGGCCUUCGGGUUGUAAAGCACUUUCAGUCGUGAGGAAGGUAGUGUAGUUAAUAGCUGCAUUAUUUGACGUUAGCGACAGAAGAAGCACCGGCUAACUCCGUGCCAGCAGCCGCGGUAAUACGGAGGGUGCGAGCGUUAAUCGGAAUUACUGGGCGUAAAGCGCAUGCAGGUGGUUUGUUAAGUCAGAUGUGAAAGCCCGGGGCUCAACCUCGGAAUAGCAUUUGAAACUGGCAGACUAGAGUACUGUAGAGGGGGGGUAGAAUUUUCAGGUGUAGCGGUGAAAUGCGUAGAGAUCUGAAGGAAUACCGGUGGCGAAGGCGGCCCCCUGGACAGAUACUGACACUCAGAUGCGAAAGCGUGGGGAGCAAACAGGAUUAGAUACCCUGGUAGUCCACGCCGUAAACGAUGUCUACUUGGAGGUUGUGGCCUUGAGCCGUGGCUUUCGGAGCUAACGCGUUAAGUAGACCGCCUGGGGAGUACGGUCGCAAGAUUAAAACUCAAAUGAAUUGACGGGGGCCCGCACAAGCGGUGGAGCAUGUGGUUUAAUUCGAUGCAACGCGAAGAACCUUACCUACUCUUGACAUCCAGAGAACUUUCCAGAGAUGGAUUGGUGCCUUCGGGAACUCUGAGACAGGUGCUGCAUGGCUGUCGUCAGCUCGUGUUGUGAAAUGUUGGGUUAAGUCCCGCAACGAGCGCAACCCUCAUCCUUGUUUGCCAGCACUUCGGGUGGGAACUCCAGGGA
This 1099-nucleotide ribosomal RNA is filed under the name Vibrio harveyi. Its description in RNAcentral is "bacterial SSU rRNA". It matches the Rfam family "Bacterial small subunit ribosomal RNA", at positions 68 to 1146 of the family's 1533-position model. Lineage: Bacteria; Pseudomonadati; Pseudomonadota; Gammaproteobacteria; Vibrionales; Vibrionaceae. The record is from RNAcentral.